UACGUAGGGUGCGAGCGUUAAUCGGAAUUACUGGGCGUAAAGCGUGCGCAGGCGGUUCGUUAAGUCAGAUGUGAAAGCCCCGGGCUCAACCUGGGAACUGCAUUUGAAACUGGCGGGCUUGAGUGUGGCAGAGGGGGGUGGAAUUCCGCGUGUAGCAGUGAAAUGCGUAGAGAUGCGGAGGAACACCGAUGGCGAAGGCAGCCCCCUGGGCCAUCACUGACGCUCAGGCACGAAAGCGUGGGGAGCAAACAGG
This 253-nucleotide ribosomal RNA is filed under the name uncultured bacterium. Its description in RNAcentral is "partial 16S ribosomal RNA". It matches the Rfam family "Bacterial small subunit ribosomal RNA", at positions 524 to 776 of the family's 1533-position model. The record is from RNAcentral.